AAAGAAAGGGGUUUGCUGUAGAA
This 23-nucleotide non-coding RNA is filed under the name Cricetulus griseus (Chinese hamster). Lineage: Eukaryota; Metazoa; Chordata; Mammalia; Rodentia; Cricetidae. The record is from RNAcentral.